UGGCAGAGGCAAAGAGACCAAGGAAGCUAAGAAGUGAAUAAGAAAGAGUGACAUAGAAAGAGGCCGUCGGACAAGAGCGUGGGCGAGGGCUUUGUGUAAUAGACAGCUGGCUGGCCUUCUUGCUGUUGGACUAUAUCAGCUGUCCCACGAUGGACCCCCUUUAAACACACGUUGAGCCUGAGGAGUAGCCUGCUAAGAGGGGUCAUGUUGUGCUGCUGCCUCCUGCUGGUGAUCAGGUGCAGCAGCUCAUGACGGCAACACUGUUGGGCAGCCAGCUCUUAUACCUGAGACUUCAGACCCUCACAGCUGCACUUGUAUCCGCC
This is a long non-coding RNA of Dicentrarchus labrax (European seabass), 323 nucleotides long. RefSeq lists it as uncharacterized. NCBI's taxonomy places the organism in Eukaryota, Metazoa, Chordata, Actinopteri, Moronidae. The transcript has 3 exons. The record is from RefSeq and is a predicted model, not a curated record.